Long non-coding RNA from Rhincodon typus (whale shark), 3355 nucleotides. RefSeq lists it as uncharacterized. The record is from RefSeq and is a predicted model, not a curated record. NCBI's taxonomy places the organism in Eukaryota, Metazoa, Chordata, Chondrichthyes, Orectolobiformes, Rhincodontidae. The transcript has 2 exons.
GAGAGUUAGGAGAUUUACUGCAGUGGCUGUUGGCUUUAUAUCAAAUGCUUCAAAACAAGACAAAACAAACAUCCCACAUCCAAGCAAGUUGCUAGGGGCGGGGCGUCUGUUUCUCGGCCCCGCCUCCCGGUUGCCAGCGUUGACGUCAGGUUCUCGGCCCCACUUCCAGGCUGCGAGGGGCAGGGCGUCUGUUUCCUGGCCCCGCCUCCCGGUUGCCAGGGUUGACGCCAGGUUCUCGGCCCCACCUCCAGGCUGCGAGGGGCGGGGCGUCGGUUUCUAGGCCAUGCCACUCGGUUGCUAGGGGCGCGACAUCGGUAUCUAGGCCCCGCCUCCAGGUUGCUAGGGGCGUGACAUCGGUAUAUAGGCCCCGCCUCCAGGUUGCUAGGGGCGGGGCGUCGGUUUCACAGACCUCACCCCCCAACCCACCGCAUUCCGUUCUUUCCGUUUAUGAACCCAGCUGACGGUUUCACGGUUCUCCUCCUCGCCACACUCGGGUUCCAUGGCAGCCGGCUCCGAGACGCCGAGUCUCCGCUGUCGGCCUCUGCUGCUCGUCCUGGCGGCGCUCGGCUUGGUGUGGGCGGCGGAGGGAAGGAGAUUGCACUUUGUCAAUCUGAGAUCCAUAGUUGCCUGGUACACACUGCCAGACAACAUUGAAGAGGCAUUUAGGCAGACACCUGACCAUGCAGCGAGUAGAGGGAUAUGGACCAAUUCAAGGCAGAUGGGAUCCAUUUAGAAUGGCGGCAUGUUCAGUGCAGAUAUCGUGGACCAAAGGGCUAGUUCCUGUGCUUUACUGUUCUAUGUUCUGGAUUGGUCUAGAUUCCUCAGUUGAAUGUUUUGGAGACUUUCUCCAUUUAAGAAAGAGUCUGCUUUUUGACUCUUCAUGCUAAAGUGCUUACCUCACACUUUCUUAAAUGAAAUUCAACCUCACUCAACCUAUCUAUAUCCCCCUGCAGAUUCUUAUGUUCUCAUCACAACACUCCCUUCCACCUAUUUUUGUGUCAUCAAAAAUUUGGAUUUGUUGCACACAACUCCUUCCUCCAAGUCAUUAAUAUGGAAAGUAAACAGUUGAGGCCCUUGGAUUGAUCCUUGUGGUAUUUCACUAGUUACAUAUUUCCAACCUGAAAAAGAGGCAUUAAUCCUGAUUCUGUCUACUGUGUCAACAAAUCCUCAAUCCAUUUUAAUACAUUACCAUGUUAAUACAGUUAAAACAUUGACAUCUACCCAAAAUUGCCCAGGUUUGUCUUGUACAAAACAAGUAGAACAAAUCCAACCCAACCAAUUACUGCCAUUUGCAAAGCGAUGGAAAGUGUCAUCAACAGUGCUACCAGUUUGGGUUCCAGCAGGGCCAAUCAGCUCCUCACCUUGGUUCAAACAAAGCCAAAAGAUUUGAAUUCUAGAUAUGAGGUGAGAUAGCCUUUGACAUCUAGGCCGCAUUUGACUGAGUCUGGUGUGAAGGAGCCUGUGCAAAACUGGAAUUAAUGGGAAGCAGGGGUAAAUUAUGUUCUAGUUGGAGUCAUACAUGGCACAUCGGAAGAUGGUUGUAGUUGUUGGAGGUCAGUCAUCUCAGCUCCAGGACAUCUCUGCAGGAGUUCCUCAGGGUAGUGUCCUAGGUCCAACCAUCUUCAGCUGCUUCAUCGUAAGGUUGGAAGUGGGGACGUUUGCUGGUGAUUGCACAAUGUCUAAUAACAUUCGCGACUCUUCAGAUACUGAAGCACUCCGUUUUCAAAUCAAACAAAAUCUGGACAACAUCCAUUGUUGCAAGUAAGCGCUUCACAAAUGCCAGGCUAUGAUCACAUCCAACAAGAGACAAUCUGACCACUGCCUCUUGACUUUCAAUGGUGUUACCAUAACUGAAACCCCCAUUGUCAACAUUCUUGGGGUUACCACUGGCCAUAAACUCAACUGAACUCGCCACAUAAACAGAGUAGCUACAAGAGUAUCUCAGAGGAUUGGAAUACUGCAACAAGAACUCACCUCCUGACUCCCCAAAGCCUGUCCACCAUCUACAAGGCACAAACCAGGAGUGUGAUGGAAUACUCCUCACUUGCCUGGAUGGGUGCAGCUCCAACAACAUGGAAGAAGCUUGACACCAUCCAGGACAAAGCAACCCACUUGAUUGUCACCACAUGCUCAAGGCACAUGCUCAAGCAUCCACUCCCUCCUCCACUGAGGCUUAGUAGCAGCAGUCCAUAUGUCCACAAGAUGCACUGCAGAAAUUCACCAAAAAUCCUGAGACAGCACCUUCCAAACCCAUGACCACUUCAAUCUAGAAGGACAAUGGCAGCAGUUAUAUUGGAAUACCACCACCUGCAAGUUCCCCUCCAAGACACACACCAUCCUGCCUUGAAAGUAUGUUGCCAUUCCUUCAUUGUUGUUGGGUCAAUUGUCUUCCAAAUGGCAUUGUGGCUCAACGUACAGUGCACGGACUGCAGUGAAUCAAGAAGAUAACUCGUCACCACCACCUCAAGGGUAACUAGGGACAGGCAAUAAAUGCUGGACAGCCAGCAACACCCAGGUCCGACGAAUGAAUAAAAAACGCCGAAUAUCAUGAGUUCCUAUCUUGUGGAAUAACCGUUUAUGUGGCACCUGAUCAAAUAGAGUUAUACAGCAUGGAAACAGACCCUUCAGUCCAACUCAUCCAUGCUGACAAGAUAUCCUAAAUUGAUCUAGUCCCAUUUGCCAGCAUUUGGCCCAUAUCCCUCUCAACCCUUUCUAUUAAUGUACCCAUACAAAAGCUUUUAAAAUGUUGUAAUCGUACUUGCCUCCACCACUUCCUCUGGCAGCUCGUUCCAUUAACACACCGCCCUCAGGUCCUUUUAAAUCUUUUCUCUCUCACCUUAAACCUAUGCCCUUUAGUUUUGUGGUUCUUUACCCUGCGAAUGAGACCUUUGCUAUUCACCCUAUCCAUACCCCUCAUGAUUUUAUAAGCAUUUAUAAGGUCACCCCUCACCCUCAGCCCCUGGUGCUCCAGGGAAGAAAGUCCCAGCCUAUUCAGUCUCUGCAUAUAGCUCUCAUCCUCCAAUCCCGGCAACAUCCUUGUAAAUCUUUUCUGAACCCUUUCAAUUUAAUAAUAUCUUUCAUAUAAGCAGGAAGACCUGAAUUGAACACAGUAUUCUGAAAAUGGCCUCACUAAUGUCCUGUACAGCUGUAACAUGAUAUCCCAACCCCUCUACUUAAUGCACCGACGAAUGAAGGCAAGCUUUCUGUAAAUCCCAAUACACUACAUUCACCAAUUCUCCUUCAUCUACUCUGCUUGGUAUAUCGUAAAAGAAUGCCAGCAUCUUUGUGAAAUAUGAUUUUCCCCUCACGGGACCAUGUUGACUCUGUUUGAUUUUAUUAAACUUUUCUAAAUCCA